AUUGAACGCUGGCGGCAUGCUUUACACAUGCAAGUCGGACGAGUGGCGAACGGGUGAGUAACAUAUCGGAACGUACCGAGUAAUGGGGGAUAACUAAUCGAAAGAUUAGCUAAUACCGCAUAUUAUUCGAGCGGCCGAUAUCUGAUGAGCUGGUUGGUGGGGUAAAGGCCUACCAAGGAGACGCUCAGUAGCGGGUCUGAGAGGAUGAUCCGCCAUGACGGGACUGAUACACGGCCUAUACUCCUACGUGAGGAGGCAGUGGGGAAUUUUGAACAAUGGGGGCAAGCCUGAUCCAGCCCUGCCACGUGUCUGAAGAAGGCCUUCAGGUUGUAAAGGACUUUUGUCAGUGAAGAGGUACCUGAAGAAUAAGCACCGGCUAACUACGGGCCGGCAGCCGCGGUAAUUC
RNAcentral lists this ribosomal RNA (406 nucleotides) under uncultured bacterium. RNAcentral describes it as "partial 16S ribosomal RNA". It matches the Rfam family "Bacterial small subunit ribosomal RNA", at positions 30 to 526 of the family's 1533-position model. The record is from RNAcentral.